Molecule: ribosomal RNA, 253 nt
Filed under: uncultured bacterium
Lineage: Bacteria
Description: partial 16S ribosomal RNA
Rfam family: Bacterial small subunit ribosomal RNA
Source: RNAcentral
UACGGGGGGUGCGAGCGUUGUCCGGAAUCACUGGGCGUAAAGGGCGCGUAGGUGGCGUGAUAAGGGUGUGGUGAAAGCCCGGGGCUCAACCCCGGGUCUGCCAUGCCGACUGUCAGGCUGGAGUACUGUAGGGGCAGGCGGAAUUCCGGGUGUAGCGGUGGAAUGCGUAGAGAUCCGGAGGAACACCGAUGGCGAAGGCAGGUCUCUGGGCUGACACUGACGCUCAUGCACGAAAGCGUGGGGAGCAAACAGG